AUAUGACUUGGCUCCGUGUGCUUGAACUACUACAGAAGUUCGCAAUUUCCUUCUUCUACUUACUUCUGCUAUAAGAAUGUACUACAAAAUAAUCCAUCUUUGCUACUUCAACUCGGUCUAUUCGUCUAUUCGGCUGGGUAAAACCAGAGGGCAAUACAAUGAUAAUAAUCGAAGGAGGAAAUAUUUUCAAAAAGUAAACAGUACCCUGGAGCAAAUAAGAAAAUGGUGGUGGUGGUAGGAAAAGAGAAAGUGGUGGAUGAUCUGAGUUGCAAAAACUACUUGGAAUUCAGCACCACAGUGGAUCACGUUUGCCGAAUCAGACAUAACUUCUUCUUAUCCAUCGUAUUCGCAGAGAGAAAACGUCCACCAAGAAGAAGAACAAGAAGGUCUCGCUGCCCCGUAUUGCCCUUGAUCGCUCCUCUUGUAUCUCAUCCUCCAUCCUUCCUGUUUACCCUAUCACUGCAACAUAAGAAGGAGUGAGCAUGGUAAGUGGAUUCCCUGACGACUGCCCUCGUACAAAUUGGCCAAGAGAAAGAGAACACAAAAGGAGGACGAGAAUUCGAGGGUAUAAGUGGCCAACUGGUUGGACGGGUGAAUCCCUUGUUAAUCAUUUACGGAAGCUUCAAACCCACAAUCUGACAAUCACACAACGGGAGAAAACCAUACUCUGCAUGAACUUGUUAUCUUUCAGCUCAGGUCUCAUUACAACCUUUCACAUUUAAGUCGCAACACGUCUCGCUGAGAAAAAUUUAAUGUGAGAAAUUGACCAAGCAUCACUCCCCGUCAGAAAUGGAAAGGUUACUGUCAGAUCGUAACUAAACUGCUGAGUAAUAUAAUGAGACGACCACAAAGGUAUAAAACAAAUUAGAUUCCCUUCUCUCUCUCUCUCUCACAGGAAAACGAGCUCUCCUUCUUCUCGGAGGCACAUUCAGCCGUCUUGUUUCAAAAGGCUGUUUCUCCAACAACAAAUUCUCACCCACCCAUCGACCAAGCGGACCUUCCGGUCUGCGUGCCGCUCUAAGAUUCAUUGAACGACAUUAUGCCCCCGAUUUGUGAUGCCGCAUCCAGUCAGCUAGAAGAUAAAUGCUCAUUAUGCGUGCAAAGGGAGACAGCACCGCCUGCCUGCCCGAGUCUCGACAUGAUUGUCACACUUUGACAAAAGUCUUGGCCAGUUCCCCAGACGGUGAGUGAGCGAGUCCUAAAACUUUUAGGCCCAAAACUACUGGAGAAGUCAAGUGUGUGGUGACUUGGAGACCGCCUCCUCCUCCUGUCAGCCAUAGAUACGAGGCACCCAUAUGUACAAGAGAAAGCAGACGAAGUGAACAAGUCAGGCAAGGCUAAGUUCCUUCUUCCUCUUCCUAAUGGCCAUUCAUUUGGUGAAACAAUGGUUCAUAAAAAUCAAUCCACAAAGGACCAGAGAGUAACAAAAUGACAAGGGCUAUAUAUACACUCCCAUUAACUCCAAUUCAGUUUCUCCGCACGACGAGUUUUGAGAAAACAGCUCUCUCUCCCAGAACGUCGAUAUACAUAUGCGAACAAAGUCUCGUUUGCUGAACGGCAACUUAUAUAUCAUUGACGUCGGCUUUACAUCCAUACACAAAAUGGUACCUUUACAACCCGACUGGACAACUGUUCUCUGGACGAAAGGACACUCCGUAGAAAUUGUUGAGUGCACGCAGGGCGAGGGAAAAACGGUGGGUCGUUACAGUCUCUUGUCACUGACAGGAAUAUUGAUGGAGGGAACGCAACAUUCUCUCAAAUCUGUGGGUCUCAAACGUUCAAUCCGUGGCGUCGGACGUGGUGGCCAUGCGGUGCAGUGGUACCAUUGGGCGUGUUCAUGUUCUUGUUUGCCGUGCGAAGAAAAUCUUGACAACUCGUAAUCUCUUUCUCCAGGAUCCGCAAACGACUCUAACUGUCAAGACCAACAACAACCCAACAACCCAACAACAACAACAAUGAUAAUAUUAACCAACAAACUCUUUUCAUUAUUAAACUUUCAAUCGAG
This is a long non-coding RNA of Folsomia candida, 2005 nucleotides long. RefSeq lists it as uncharacterized. Lineage: Eukaryota; Metazoa; Arthropoda; Collembola; Entomobryomorpha; Isotomidae. The record is from RefSeq and is a predicted model, not a curated record. The transcript has 2 exons.